Molecule: ribosomal RNA, 253 nt
Filed under: uncultured bacterium
Lineage: Bacteria
Description: partial 16S ribosomal RNA
Rfam family: Bacterial small subunit ribosomal RNA
Source: RNAcentral
UACGUAGGGGGCAAGCGUUGUCCGGAUUUAUUGGGAGUAAAGAGCGUGUAGGCGGCCAACCUGGUCCCCUGUGAAAACUCGAGGCUCAACCUCGAGAGGUCGGUGGAAACCGUCUGGCUAGAGUCCGGAAGAGGAGAGUGGAAUUCCCGGUGUAGCGGUGAAAUGCGCAGAUAUCGGGAAGAACCCCCGUGGCGAAGGCGGCUCUCUGGGACGGUACUGACGCUGAGACGCGAAAUCGUGGGGAGCGAACAGG